RNAcentral lists this ribosomal RNA (502 nucleotides) under uncultured bacterium. Its description in RNAcentral is "partial 16S ribosomal RNA". It matches the Rfam family "Bacterial small subunit ribosomal RNA", at positions 28 to 507 of the family's 1533-position model. The record is from RNAcentral.
GACGAACGCUGGCGGCGUGCUUAACACAUGCAAGUCGAACGGUGAAGGGGUCUGCUUUUGUGGGCCCUGGAUGAGUGGCGAACGGGUGAGUAACACGUGAGUAACCUGCCCCCUUCUUCUGGAUAACCGCAUGAAAGUGUGGCUAAUACGGGAUAUUCUGGGUCUGUCGCAUGAUGGGUCUGGGCAAGAUUGCGCCUUUGGGUGUUUUUGGUGGGGGAUGGGCUCGCGGCCUAUCAGCUUGUUGGUGGGGUGAUGGCCUACCAAGGCGGUGACGGGUAGCCGGGCUGAGAGGGUGGACGGUCACACUGGGACUGAGACACGGCCCAGACUCCUACGGGAGGCAGCAGUGGGGAAUAUUGCACAAUGGGCGCAAGCCUGAUGCAGCGACGCCGCGUGAGGGAUGGAGGCCUUCGGGUUGUAAACCUCUUUCGCCAGUGAAGCAGGCCUGCUCCUUGUGGGUGGGUUGACGGUAGCUGGAGAAGAAGCGCCGGCUAACUACGUG